AGCACUAAUAUAGAGGCAACAUGUUUUCCCACUCUACUGGUAUUUUAAACGUAUGUCACAUGUUAAAAUGGUGCUGUUUUGGGGGGGCUUAGCACCGAUUGAUUUUGAUUCAUGUCAAUGGGACACUGUAAUGAUCCUCCACGACAGUUUUAAAUUUGUGUUUAUUUUCCUUUGCUUGGUCUUAUUUCUGUUCCAGCGCUUUUGUUUCCACUUCCAGUGUUUCCCUUGCCUGCCACUUCUUCUCUGGCCUUAGCGCUGCCUCCCUCACCUGUCCCUAAAUGGCCAUCAGGAACACCUGACCCUUGUUACCAGCAAUCUACAAUCUGCGCACCUGGGUCUGAUGAAGACCGACAGCAUAAAGACCAGCGGACCUGAAGAUCCAGUGCCGGAACGUAGUUCACUCUCGUAUGCUUCCCCUGUUUCCCGUGAUCGAGCUGUGUGCCUCGACUUCCCUCUGGAUUCAGGACUGCCUCCCUCGAUCCUCGACCCCUGCUUGGACGCUCCUCUCCAGCCCUCGACCGCUUGCCAGCCCAUGAACUGCCUUCUCGCCUUGCCCCUUUGGUCUGAUGAAGGAUUCAUCCAACACGCACA
Entelurus aequoreus (snake pipefish) is the source of this 591-nucleotide long non-coding RNA. RefSeq lists it as uncharacterized. The record is from RefSeq and is a predicted model, not a curated record. Lineage: Eukaryota; Metazoa; Chordata; Actinopteri; Syngnathiformes; Syngnathidae. The transcript is spliced from 3 exons.